CUGGCCCUGAACAAUGCCGGCAGCUUCCUGGCGCUGUUGGUUUCAAGCAGGAGCCUAAAGAGAUGUCUUUCUAUGGUCUGUUGGCCAUUUCAGAACUUGUGUAUUGAAAUGGUCAAUUCAUUAGAAAAAAACAGCG
This is a small nucleolar RNA of Cavia aperea (Brazilian guinea pig), 136 nucleotides long. The record is from Ensembl. Lineage: Eukaryota; Metazoa; Chordata; Mammalia; Rodentia; Caviidae.